Molecule: ribosomal RNA, 253 nt
Filed under: uncultured bacterium
Lineage: Bacteria
Description: partial 16S ribosomal RNA
Rfam family: Bacterial small subunit ribosomal RNA
Source: RNAcentral
UACAGAGGGGGCGAGCGUUGUUCGGAAUUACUGGGCGUAAAGGGCGCGUAGGCGGCCUUCUAAGUCGAACGUGAAAUCCCCGGGCUCAACCCGGGAGCUGCGUCCGAUACUGGGAGGCUUGAAUCCGGGAGAGGGAUGUGGAAUUCCAGGUGUAGCGGUGAAAUGCGUAGAUAUCGGGAGGAACACCUGUGGCGAAAGCGGCGCACUGGACCACAACUGACGCUGAGGCGCGAAAGCUAGGGGAGCAAACAGG